This 339-nucleotide transfer-messenger RNA is filed under the name Actinomycetota bacterium. RNAcentral describes it as "partial transfer-messenger RNA". It matches the Rfam family "transfer-messenger RNA". Rfam says of the family: Bacterial tmRNA, also known as 10Sa RNA or SsrA, is named for its dual tRNA and mRNA-like properties. Its role is to liberate the mRNA from a stalled ribosome. The record is from RNAcentral. Lineage: Bacteria; Bacillati; Actinomycetota.
CGACUCCGGUCGUCGAAGUGGGAGAAGCGAGCCGUGGUCUCCGGAGCCACGUUAAAGAGCCGGAAACCAACACAAACGCCGAGCCCAAGCUCGCGCUUGCUGCCUAAAUAGCAGCAAUGUCUGCCCGACCCCAGCCUCACGGGUCGGCCUGCAGGCAUCAUCUCGUGGGGCUUACCCGAACGGUGCCGCUGACGCGUAGCUCGGGAACAUCCAAGUCAGCUGGGAGCCCGUCUUGACGCCGGUGGCGGAAUGGGCUCCGAGACCCUCCCGCCGGCUGCGCUCGGAGAAGCCCCAUUGAGAAGCCGGAGGACGCGGGUUCGACUCCCGCCACCUCCACGG